AUACAGAGGGUGCAAGCGUUAUUCGGAAUUACUGGGCGUAAAGCGCGCGUAGGCGGAUGAUUAAGUCAGUUGUGAAAGCCCUGGGCUCAACCUAGGAACUGCAUCUGAUACUGGUCAUCUAGAGUUUAAGAGAGGGAAGUGGAAUUCCAGGUGUAGCAGUGAAAUGCGUAGAUAUCUGGAGGAACAUCAGUGGCGAAGGCGACUUCCUGGCUUAAAACUGACGCUGAGGUGCGAAAGCGUGGGUAGCGAACGGGAUUAGAAACCCUAGUAGUCC
Molecule: ribosomal RNA, 274 nt
Filed under: uncultured bacterium
Lineage: Bacteria
Description: partial 16S ribosomal RNA
Rfam family: Bacterial small subunit ribosomal RNA
Source: RNAcentral